AUGUAUUGUAAUUCCUACAACGUUAAUGCACUGGAUCUCAUUAGAACUCCGUAGUUAAAUGUGCUUGGGCUAGAGCAGUACUAAGAUGGAUGACCUCCUCGGAAGUCCUAGUGUUUUACAUG
This is a non-coding RNA of Picea glauca (white spruce), 122 nucleotides long. The record is from Rfam. NCBI's taxonomy places the organism in Eukaryota, Viridiplantae, Streptophyta, Pinopsida, Pinales, Pinaceae.